UACGUAGGGGGCAAGCGUUGUCCGGAAUCAUUGGGCGUAAAGAGCGUGUAGGCGGCCCGGUAAGUCCGCUGUGAAAGUCCAGGCUCAACCCUGGGAUGCCGGUGGAUACUGUCGGGCUCGAGUCCGGAAGAGGAGUGUGGAAUUCCGUGGUGUAGCGGUGAAAUGCGUAGAUAUCAGGAGGAACACCGGUGGUGGUAGACCGGCUCACUGGACCGUAACCUGACGCUGAGACACGAAAGCGUGGGUAGCAAACAGG
Molecule: ribosomal RNA, 256 nt
Filed under: uncultured bacterium
Lineage: Bacteria
Description: partial 16S ribosomal RNA
Rfam family: Bacterial small subunit ribosomal RNA
Source: RNAcentral